CGACGAGUGGCGAACGGGUGAGUAACACGUGAGUAACCUGCCCACAACUUUGGGAUAACGCUAGGAAACUGGUGCUAAUACUGGAUAUGUGCUCCUGCUGCAUGGUGGGGGUUGGAAAGCUCCGGCGGUUGUGGGUGGACUCGCGGCCUAUCAGCUUGUUGGUGGGGUAGUGGCCUACCAAGGCGGCGACGGGUAGCCGGCCUGAGAGGGUGACCGGCCACAUUGGGACUGAGAUACGGCCCAG
Molecule: ribosomal RNA, 244 nt
Filed under: uncultured Actinomycetales bacterium
Lineage: Bacteria; Bacillati; Actinomycetota; Actinomycetes; Actinomycetales
Description: partial 16S ribosomal RNA
Rfam family: Bacterial small subunit ribosomal RNA
Source: RNAcentral